This 460-nucleotide ribosomal RNA is filed under the name uncultured bacterium. RNAcentral describes it as "partial 16S ribosomal RNA". It matches the Rfam family "Bacterial small subunit ribosomal RNA", at positions 28 to 507 of the family's 1533-position model. The record is from RNAcentral.
GAUGAACGCUGGCGGCAUGCCUAACACAUGCAAGUCGGACGGGCAGUGGUGGUUCCCUUGGCGGACGGGUGAGUAACGGGUAAGAACCUGCCCUUGGGUGGGGAACAACAGCUGGAAACGGUUGCGAAUACCCCGCAGGCUGAGGAGCAGAAGGAAGAAUCCGAUCGCGGUGGGUCUUGCGUCUGAUUAGCUAGAUGGUGAGGCAACGGUUUACCAAGGAGAUGAUCAGUAGCCGGCCCGGGAGGGUGAUCAGACACAGUGGGACUGAGACAAGGACCAGACUGCGACGGGAAGCCGCAGCGGGGACCUUCGGGAAACGGGAGAGAGGAAGAUGCCGCAAUGCGCGGAGGGUGAAGAAGGCAUUGGCGCUGGAAAGCAGAAUGCCUACGGGUCAGGGACUGUUUUUCCCGGAGAAGAUGCAAUGACGGUAUCUGGGGAAUAAGCACCGGCUAACUCUGUG